Molecule: ribosomal RNA, 889 nt
Filed under: uncultured Bacteroidota bacterium
Lineage: Bacteria; Pseudomonadati; Bacteroidota
Description: bacterial SSU rRNA
Rfam family: Bacterial small subunit ribosomal RNA
Source: RNAcentral
GUCGGACGGGAUCCAGGGGUAGCUUGCUACCCUCUGGUGAGAGUGGCGCACGGGUGCGUAACGCGUGAGCAACCUACCCAUAUCAGGGGGAUAGCCCGAAGAAAUUCGGAUUAACACCGCAUGACACCCCAUCCCGGCAUCGGGGCGGGGUCAAAUAUUCAUAGGAUAUGGAUGGGCUCGCGUGACAUUAGCUAGUUGGUGGGGUAACGGCCCACCAAGGCGACGAUGUCUAGGGGCUCUGAGAGGAGAAUCCCCCACACUGGUACUGAGACACGGACCAGACUCCUACGGGAGGCAGCAGUAAGGAAUAUUGGUCAAUGGGGGCAACCCUGAACCAGCCAUGCCGCGUGCAGGACGACUGCCCUAUGGGUUGUAAACUGCUUUUGCCAGGGAAUAAACCCGGUCACGUGUGGCCGGCUGAACGUACCUGGAGAAUAAGGAUCGGCUAACUCCGUGCCAGCAGCCGCGGUAAUACGGAGGAUCCGAGCGUUAUCCGGAUUUAUUGGGUUAAAGGGUGCGUAGGCGGCACUUUAAGUCAGGGGUGAAAUACGGCAGCUCAACUGUCGCAGUGCCCUUGAUACUGAAGUGCUUGAAUGCGGUUGAAGACGGCGGAAUGAGACAAGUAGCGGUGAAAUGCAUAGAUAUGUCUCAGAACACCGAUUGCGAAGGCAGCUGUCUAAGCCGUUAUUGACGCUGAUGCACGAAAGCGUGGGGAUCGAACAGGAUUAGAUACCCUGGUAGUCCACGCCCUAAACGAUGAUGACUCGAUGUUUGCGAUAUACCGUAAGCGUCCAAGCGAAAGCGUUAAGUCAUCCACCUGGGGAGUACGCCCGCAAGGGUGAAACUCAAAGGAAUUGACGGGGGCCCGCACAAGCGGAGGAGCAUGUGU